AGCGAACGCUGGCGGCAGGCCUAACACAUGCAAGUCGAACGAACUCUUCGGAGUUAGUGGCGGACGGGUGAGUAACACGUGGGAACGUGCCUUUAGGUUCGGAAUAACUCAGGGAACCUUGUGCUAAUACCGAAUGUGCCCUUCGGGGGAAAGAUUUAUCGCCUUUAGAGCGGCCCGCGUCUGAUUAGCUAGUUGGUGAGGUAAAGGCUCACCAAGGCGACGAUCAGUAGCUGGUCUGAGAGGAUGAUCAGCCACAUUGGGACUGAGACACGGCCCAAACUCCUACGGGAGGCAGCAGUGGGGAAUCUUGCGCAAUGGGCGAAAGCCUGACGCAGCCAUGCCGCGUGAAUGAUGAAGGUCUUAGGAUUGUAAAAUUCUUUCACCGGGGACGAUAAUGACGGUACCCGGAGAAGAAGCCCCGGCUAACUUCGUG
This 433-nucleotide ribosomal RNA is filed under the name uncultured bacterium. RNAcentral describes it as "partial 16S ribosomal RNA". It matches the Rfam family "Bacterial small subunit ribosomal RNA", at positions 29 to 507 of the family's 1533-position model. The record is from RNAcentral.